GGCCCAUUAGCUCAGUUGGUUAGAGCGUGGUGCUAAUAACGCCAAGGUCCCAGGUUCGAGACCUGCAUGGGCCA
Molecule: transfer RNA, 74 nt
Filed under: Triticum aestivum (bread wheat)
Lineage: Eukaryota; Viridiplantae; Streptophyta; Magnoliopsida; Poales; Poaceae
Also listed under: 1 other name
Description: tRNA-Ile (AAT) (tRNA-Ile-AAT-9-1)
Rfam family: tRNA
About the family: Transfer RNA (tRNA) molecules are approximately 80 nucleotides in length.
Source: Rfam by way of RNAcentral